Molecule: ribosomal RNA, 750 nt
Filed under: Triticum aestivum (bread wheat)
Lineage: Eukaryota; Viridiplantae; Streptophyta; Magnoliopsida; Poales; Poaceae
Description: partial small subunit ribosomal RNA
Source: RNAcentral
AUGCAGCCUGUCGGGGACAUGGAUCGGAUCGUGGUCAAUCGUGCUAGAAUUGACCACCAGACGCACCUACACUUGAGUACGUCUGUGGUGCCGAUCCUAAUCUAUUAUACCAGACAGCCCAAAUCGGGUGAACCAAAAGAUUUGAGUCAACCAGCGGGUCUUUUUCCUGGCAUUGUUACUGUUUCUGCUAGAAACUUUUGUCAUAUAAUAGCAGCUGCAAGGUCACUCUUUCCAAGAACUCCAGAUCUAUUCAGAUUUGAAAUUCUCUUCCCCAAUGGAACAACCGUAGACACCAGGAACAUUGUUGUAGAACGAGGAGAAACAUUGGCCGCUUUCUUUGUUCUUGGUCCAAUUGGAGAUGUGAAUGAAGUGCGGUUUGUUGAUCAACCUGUUUCACGAAAUCAUAGCAUCAAGAUGUUUGGAUAUUAUCUUAAUCCAUUUCCACCAAGGCUACCCAUAAGUGAAUUAUGUGAUGGAUUUGCCAGCCAUCCAGGUGAUCGAUUUUUUCGACACGACUGCACACCAUCACAUAUUUCUGCUCGUGGGUCAGCUGUUUUCAACGACCAAGAAAGAUUGGUUGGCAUAUCAUAUGAGCGUCAUGGUUUAACAAAGGCCCUGGAUGUCGAGGGCAUAAGAUAUGAACUUUUACAGAUUUACGGAGGAAUGAAUGAGAUGUCCAUUUUGCAGAUUGUAGAACAUAUAAGAGCUCUAGGUGAAGUAAGAGCUGCGAAUCUUGCAGGCCCUUCUUGA